UAUAUAUAUGGAAAACACAAAUGCAGACAGCAAGAUAGGUUUAAAUAAAUGUCAAGCGUAAGCACAAACACACACAGAUAAAAGUAUAUUUGGUGAUGAUGAAGCUAAAAUACAGCUAUAUGCAAGUGAUAAAAUGUUUCUUGAUGGAAAGGGUCAUACACUGAUGCAGGAUCACAAUUUCCGAAGCUUUAGUAUUUCUUCACAAUUUCUGGAUUUAAGAAUUUUCUAUUAAAAUGUCAAGUAUUAUAUUUACUUUGGAAUAGAUUAUUUAUUAAAAUCUAAAAGUGGUGUGUGGACUGCAAAAACUUCUUUAUCAGCCAAGGGCCGCCAUGUUUUCUCGCUUUUUGAUUUUGGCGGGUCACAUGUAAAAUGUUUUUCUGUCUAAAAUUCGUAGGAAUACUUUUUAAAAGGUAAAAUUUAUCACGCCAGUGUUAUUAUGCAAUGUUAUGAUAUGUUCCUGAUACAAAUAAACGCCAACAGUACAAGUAAUUCUUCAAAUUGAAGCACAAUAUAAAAAGACGUCCGUCACCAUCCAACACCACACAA
This 546-nucleotide long non-coding RNA is filed under the name Mytilus galloprovincialis (Mediterranean mussel). The record is from RNAcentral. Lineage: Eukaryota; Metazoa; Mollusca; Bivalvia; Mytilida; Mytilidae.